RNAcentral lists this ribosomal RNA (460 nucleotides) under uncultured bacterium. RNAcentral describes it as "partial 16S ribosomal RNA". It matches the Rfam family "Bacterial small subunit ribosomal RNA", at positions 338 to 795 of the family's 1533-position model. The record is from RNAcentral.
CCUACGGGGGGCUGCAGUGAGGAAUAUUGGUCAAUGGACGAGAGUCUGAACCAGCCAAGUAGCGUGAAGGAUGACUGCCCUAUGGGUUGUAAACUUCUUUUAUAUGGGAAUAAAAUGUUCCACGUGUGGGAUUUUGUAUGUACCAUAUGAAUAAGGAUCGGCUAACUCCGUGCCAGCAGCCGCGGUAAUACGGAGGAUCCGAGCGUUAUCCGGAUUUAUUGGGUUUAAAGGGAGCGUAGGUGGAUUGUUAAGUCAGUUGUGAAAGUUUGCGGCUCAACCGUAAAAUUGCAGUUGAAACUGGCAGUCUUGAGUACAGUAGAGGUGGGCAGAAUUCGUGGUGUAGCGGUGAAAUGCUUAGAUAUCACGAAGAACUCCGAUUGCGAAGGCAGUUCACUGGACUGAAACUGACACUGAGGCUCGAAAGUGUGGGUAUCAAACAGGAUUAGAUACCCGAGUAGUC